RNAcentral lists this long non-coding RNA (698 nucleotides) under Brassica rapa (field mustard). RNAcentral's name for it is "long non-coding RNA (BRAP_LNC002619)". Lineage: Eukaryota; Viridiplantae; Streptophyta; Magnoliopsida; Brassicales; Brassicaceae. The record is from RNAcentral.
AUUGAAAAUUUUACCACAUAAAUUAACUCGUAUAACUGACCAAAAUUUAUAAUUAUUUUCUGUAAGAAGAAAAUAUAAUCAUCAAACUUAAAAAGCUUACUUGGAAUUAGUCUGGCCCACGAGAUUGAAAAUCUGAAAGCGUCCAUGUUUAGCUCCUUCAUCAAUUUUAUGUCAUCCUGUUUUUGUUUGUUUAUGUCAUAUAAAAAACAAUAUUUUUAACCAAAGCAAAAACGAUAACUAUAUACGGGUCUAGGUACAACGUACGAACUUUUGAGAAAGUAAAUUGACUUAUCUUGAACUUUAAUUUCAUUUUGGCUACUGAUUACCAACUUUAGAAAAACAUUAAGUUAAAAAUCUAAGCUAUUAUUAUUCAAUCAACCAAGCAUGUCCUUGUAUACAAGUUUAGGAGAUGUGAAUCCUAAAUACAAGAAGCUAGAUCUAUCUAAACAACUAGAUAUGCCUUAUCACAAUAUACAAUAUAUCGAUCUUAUCUUUAGUUAAAGAUGUAAAAUAUUUGAUUUGAUUCACAUGAUUUGAUAGUUUGAUUUAGUUUUAGUUUUAGAUGACAAGAUUGACUAUUAUAGUCUAAAGAAAAAGAGGAGAUUGAUUAGAGAUAGUACCUUAUAACGGUGAUAAAAAUCAAUCGCUACAUCUGCAUUAUGCAUCUUCGUCCGUUCUGCAGCAAAAGAUUUUAGUUU